Molecule: ribosomal RNA, 465 nt
Filed under: Vreelandella stevensii
Lineage: Bacteria; Pseudomonadati; Pseudomonadota; Gammaproteobacteria; Oceanospirillales; Halomonadaceae
Description: partial 16S ribosomal RNA
Rfam family: Bacterial small subunit ribosomal RNA
Source: RNAcentral
CCUACGGGUGGCAGCAGUGGGGAAUAUUGGACAAUGGGGGGAACCCUGAUCCAGCCAUGCCGCGUGUGUGAAGAAGGCCCUCGGGUUGUAAAGCACUUUCAGUGAGGAAGAACGCCUGGUGGUUAAUACCCAUCAGGAAAGACAUCACUCACAGAAGAAGCACCGGCUAACUCCGUGCCAGCAGCCGCGGUAAUACGGAGGGUGCGAGCGUUAAUCGGAAUUACUGGGCGUAAAGCGCGCGUAGGUGGCUUGAUAAGCCGGUUGUGAAAGCCCCGGGCUUAACCUGGGAACGGCAUCCGGAACUGUCAAGCUAGAGUGCAGGAGAGGAAGGUAGAAUUCCCGGUGUAGCGGUGAAAUGCGUAGAGAUCGGGAGGAAUACCAGUGGCGAAGGCGGCCUUCUGGACUGACACUGACACUGAGGUGCGAAAGCGUGGGUAGCAAACAGGAUUAGAUACCCGUGUAGUC